CAGUAGCCGCGGUAAUGCGAAGGGGGCUAGCGUUGUUCGGAUUUACUGGGCGUAAAGCGCACGUAGGCGGAUCGAUCAGUCAGGGGUGAAAUCCCAGAGCUCAACUCUGGAACUGCCUUCGAUACUGUCGAUCUGGAGUAUGGAAGAGGUGAGUGGAAUUCCGAGUGUAGAGGUGAAAUUCGUAGAUAUUCGGAGGAACACCAGUGGCGAAGGCGGCUCACUGGUCCAUUACUGACGCUGAGGUGCGAAAGCGUGGGGAGCAAACAGGAUUAGAUACCCCCGUAGUCCCUGUCUCUUAUAC
Molecule: ribosomal RNA, 301 nt
Filed under: uncultured bacterium
Lineage: Bacteria
Description: partial 16S ribosomal RNA
Rfam family: Bacterial small subunit ribosomal RNA
Source: RNAcentral